This 274-nucleotide long non-coding RNA is filed under the name Nicotiana benthamiana. RNAcentral describes it as "long non-coding RNA (NBEN_LNC009673)". Lineage: Eukaryota; Viridiplantae; Streptophyta; Magnoliopsida; Solanales; Solanaceae. The record is from RNAcentral.
CUAAAAGAAUUUUAACGUUAGUCCAAUCUUGUGUAGUUAGCAUUUCAUCAUCUUCCUCACCACAAUCCCGAGAAUUAUACGUAGCGUUAAUUGGGAUUCUAUAUUCGUACGCUACUACUAAACUUUCGUACAUGUAAUUCCACCUAGUCGGCAAGGUUUAGGAACCUUUCUCUCUCUAAGGCCAUAUUCGUCACACUUUUUAAAAUAUUCUCUAAGUCUACUUCUACGGUUUGAAUAAAAUAGCCAAUUAAGAGCCAUUUUAACCUUUUCAANN